RNAcentral lists this ribosomal RNA (118 nucleotides) under Escherichia coli. Its description in RNAcentral is "partial 23S ribosomal RNA". It matches the Rfam family "Bacterial large subunit ribosomal RNA", at positions 1 to 108 of the family's 2925-position model. Lineage: Bacteria; Pseudomonadati; Pseudomonadota; Gammaproteobacteria; Enterobacterales; Enterobacteriaceae. The record is from RNAcentral.
GGGUUGUGAGGUUAAGCGACUAAGCGUACACGGUGGAUGCCCUGGCAGUCAGAGGCGAUGAAGGACGUGCUAAUCUGCGAUAAGCGUCGGUGAGGUGAUAUGAACCGUUAUAACCGGC